GAUGAAGAACGCAGCGAAAUGCGAUAAGUAGUGUGAAUUGCAGAAUUCAGUGAAUCAUCGAAUCUUUGAACGCACAUUGCGCCCCUUGGUAUUCCAUGGGGCAUGCCUGUUCGAGCGUCAUUUGUACCCUCAAGCUUUGCUUGGUGUUGGGCGUCUUGUCUUGUAUUAGACUUGCCUUAAAGUCAUUGGCAGCCAGUGUUUUUGGUAGUAAGCGCAGCACAUUUUGCGUCUUAGUCCUUGAAUCGUGGCAUCCAUGAAGCCUUUUUUCACUUUUGACCUCGGAUCAGGUAGGGAUACCCGCUGAACUUAAGCAUAUCAAUAAGCGGAGGA
This 330-nucleotide unclassified non-coding RNA is filed under the name soil metagenome. Its description in RNAcentral is "partial contains 5.8S ribosomal RNA, internal transcribed spacer 2, and large subunit ribosomal RNA". The stretch from base 1 to 120 matches the Rfam family "5.8S ribosomal RNA", at positions 35 to 154 of the family's 154-position model. The record is from RNAcentral.